Molecule: ribosomal RNA, 1372 nt
Filed under: uncultured bacterium
Lineage: Bacteria
Description: bacterial SSU rRNA
Rfam family: Bacterial small subunit ribosomal RNA
Source: RNAcentral
GAUGAACGCUGGCGGCGUGCCUAAUACAUGCAAGUCGAGCGAACGGACGAGAAGCUUGCUUUUCUGAUGUUAGCGGCGGACGGGUGAGUAACACGUGGAUAACCUACCUAUAAGACUGGGAUAACUUCGGGAAACCGGAGCUAAUACCGGAUAAUAUUUUGAACCGCAUGGUUCAAAAGUGAAAGACGGUCUUGCUGUCACUUAUAGAUGGAUCCGCGCUGCAUUAGCUAGUUGGUAAGGUAACGGCUUACCAAGGCAACGAUGCAUAGCCGACCUGAGAGGGUGAUCGGCCACACUGGAACUGAGACACGGUCCAGACUCCUACGGGAGGCAGCAGUAGGGAAUCUUCCGCAAUGGGCGAAAGCCUGACGGAGCAACGCCGCGUGAGUGAUGAAGGUCUUCGGAUCGUAAAACUCUGUUAUUAGGGAAGAACAUAUGUGUAAGUAACUGUGCACAUCUUGACGGUACCUAAUCAGAAAGCCACGGCUAACUACGUGCCAGCAGCCGCGGUAAUACGUAGGUGGCAAGCGUUAUCCGGAAUUAUUGGGCGUAAAGCGCGCGUAGGCGGUUUUUUAAGUCUGAUGUGAAAGCCCACGGCUCAACCGUGGAGGGUCAUUGGAAACUGGAAAACUUGAGUGCAGAAGAGGAAAGUGGAAUUCCAUGUGUAGCGGUGAAAUGCGCAGAGAUGUGGAGGAACACCAGUGGCGAAGGCGACUUUCUGGUCUGUAACUGACGCUGAUGUGCGAAAGCGUGGGGAUCAAACAGGAUUAGAUACCCUGGUAGUCCACGCCGUAAACGAUGAGUGCUAAGUGUUAGGGGGUUUCCGCCCCUUAGUGCUGCAGCUAACGCAUUAAGCACUCCGCCUGGGGAGUACGACCGCAAGGUUGAAACUCAAAGGAAUUGACGGGGGCCCGCACAAGCGGUGGAGCAUGUGGUUUAAUUCGAAGCAACGCGAAGAACCUUACCAAAUCUUGACAUCCUUUGACAACUCUAGAGAUAGAGCCUUCCCCUUCGGGGGACAAAGUGACAGGUGGUGCAUGGUUGUCGUCAGCUCGUGUCGUGAGAUGUUGGGUUAAGUCCCGCAACGAGCGCAACCCUUAAGCUUAGUUGCCAUCAUUAAGUUGGGCACUCUAAGUUGACUGCCGGUGACAAACCGGAGGAAGGUGGGGAUGACGUCAAAUCAUCAUGCCCCUUAUGAUUUGGGCUACACACGUGCUACAAUGGACAAUACAAAGGGCAGCGAAACCGCGAGGUCAAGCAAAUCCCAUAAAGUUGUUCUCAGUUCGGAUUGUAGUCUGCAACUCGACUACAUGAGGCUGGAAUCGCUAGUAAUCGUAGAUCAGCAUGCUACGGUGAAUACGUUCCCGGGUCU